Pantherophis guttatus is the source of this 1691-nucleotide non-coding RNA. The record is from RefSeq and is a predicted model, not a curated record. Lineage: Eukaryota; Metazoa; Chordata; Lepidosauria; Squamata; Colubridae.
CAAUUGCGCUCCACGUGUCUUUGGAAAGGCCUUCGCGCCGGUACCCGUUCCGCGCCCGUCGUCUGAAUGUCGCCCCGUUUUUCUGACGGGGACGCCUCGGAGCUCUCUUCCCCCUUUUCCAGGGGCUUUUGGCUCCUAAGCGCAAAUCAGGUAGAGAUGUCACCAGGGAUGGGAUUCAGCUGAUUCGGAUUGGUUCUAUGCCCCAGCGCUAUGCUGUCCUAUUUAGCUGCAUUUAAGCCACGCACAUAUGUGCAAGCACGCAAACAAAGCGCAUGCACAAAAGGUUGCACGCAUGCAUGGAAGGCGCACACGCUCACAUUUUCGGUGCUGGGGCGAAACUGGUUGUUAAUCCAGGUGCCUCCCAUUUCUGGAUGUGACUACAAUUGUGGGUUGAGCUCAUGAUGCUUUUUUUGGUGUCGUAUCUCCCUCUGCUGGACAUUCGUUAAUACUUAUCUUGACUAAAAUUACAGUCUUCUCACACAGGCAAGCCAGAUGUUCAGAUUGGAUUUGGCAUUUUUUAUCCACCUAUCAAGUCCUUCCGAAGGACUGGGAUAAGCAGAUGUUGAUAUUUAAUGGUGUUAAGAGGCAUCGUCGCAGGAUGUAAGCUGUUCCAAGUAAAGCUUACUAUUAUCAUGGUCUGUAAACCCAGGAUUUCUAAUCCGGAAAAUCAAUAUUGCAGCGUCGUACAGUGUUACUAUAUUCAAAUCAAAGCAACUGAAUUGAAUUGAACUCACAGGGUUAGAAUUUUGGGGCAAAAUAGGAUCCCAACACCAGGAGGGAUUUCCAAAACUUUGUAGUAAGAGAAUAAAAGGGUUAGUGACAUAAUGAAAGAAAAUAUCACAGAUCAAGAAUAUUUUUAAGAAGAUCUGCCCCUCCUCAACUCUUUGUGAAUCUUGUAAUUCUGUUCGCAAGUAGUGUGCUGUUUAAAUCAAUCAUCUUGUUGGACCAAGCCAAUAAAAAAAAUUCAGAACCACAAAAUCCAGCAUCCCAAACAUGAAAUGUUCAGGGCCUGAAUAAUUUUGUCACACAGAAUAAGUAACAAGCCACAGCACAUGAAGCAAAACAGGUGUGCCAGCAGAAAGGUAGAAUAUAUAUUAUAUACACAGUCAUCUGCACCUCUAUAACUGUCUGGUUUGGUUCUGCAACCCAACAAGACAGGUACAGACUUCAGAGGAUAAUUAGAACUGCAGAAAAAACAAUGGCUACCAACCUGCAUUGAGGACCUGUAUACUGCACGGAUCAAAAAGAGGGCUGUGAAAAUAUUUAUAGACCCCUCACAUCCUGGAUAUAAAUUGUUUCAACUCCUACCCUCAAAACGACUAUAGAGCACUGCACACCACGACACAAGGACUGUUUUUUCCCGAAUGCCAUCACUCUGCCAAACCACUAAUUCCUACAACACUGUCCAAUUAACUACUAAGACUGUACUAAUUCUUCUUCUCAUCCUUCCUAGUACCUAUCUCUUCCCACUUAUGGCUAUAACCAUAUUGCUUGUAUCUUUACAACUUAUAUUUUCAUUGUUUCCUAGUAUGAUUUGAUUGCUUAUUAGUAUCCUAUGACUAUCACUAAGUGUUGUAUCUUAUGAUUCUUGACGAAUAUUUUUUUUCUUUUAUGUACACUGAGAGCAUAUGCACCAAAACAAAUUCCUUGUGUGUCCAAUCACACUUGGCCAAUAAAGAAUUCCUAUUCUA